Lolium rigidum is the source of this 310-nucleotide long non-coding RNA. RefSeq lists it as uncharacterized. NCBI's taxonomy places the organism in Eukaryota, Viridiplantae, Streptophyta, Magnoliopsida, Poales, Poaceae. The transcript has 2 exons. The record is from RefSeq and is a predicted model, not a curated record.
UAACACUCUUGAAAGUGUUAAAGAAUGCAUGAGUAUGAAGGUUUUCAUCAGACCAAGGUAUGUAAGCAUGAAAGAGGACUGGUGUUGAUGCUGGAUAUAAGCGAGUCACUAUUGUUCAUUACAACUCACCAGAUCUAUACCUAUAAUCUCUCAGCUACAUAUUUCUGGAACAUUGUCGAACUAUUUUCAAGUUUGAAUAGACUAUUCCUGACACUACAAGUGUAAGUAGUUUUUAAAUUCGACUUUCUUCGUUUAAGGAAGCACGUUGGUUUCAUAAAAAAAAUAAGAGUGGGCUGGUCUGCUUUGAUAA